This 490-nucleotide ribosomal RNA is filed under the name uncultured bacterium. RNAcentral's name for it is "partial 16S ribosomal RNA". It matches the Rfam family "Bacterial small subunit ribosomal RNA", at positions 28 to 507 of the family's 1533-position model. The record is from RNAcentral.
GAUGAACGCUAGCGAUAGGCUUAACACAUGCAAGUCGAGGGGCAGCAUGGUCUUAGCUUGCUAAGACUGAUGGCGACCGGCGCACGGGUUCGUAACGCGUAUGCAACUUGCCUCACAGAGGGGGAUAACCCGUCGAAAGACGGACUAAUACCGCGUACACUCUCUUUUGGGCAUCCAAGGUAGAGGCAAUGAAAUUCGCUGUGAGAUAGGCAUGCGUCCCAUUAGCUAGUUGGUGAGGUAACGGCUCACCAAGGCGACGAUGGGUAGGGGAACUGAGAGGUUGAACCCCCACACUGGUACUGAGACACGGACCAGACUCCGACGGGAGGAAGCAGUGAGGAAUAUUGAUCAAUGGGGGAGAGCCUGAACCAGCCAAGUCGGGUGAAGGAUGACUGUCUUAGGGAUUGUAAACUUCUUUUGUAGGGGAAUAAAGAGGGGCACGUGUGCCCCAGUGAAUGUACCCUACGAAUAAGCAUCGGCUAACUCCGUG